AUUCCAGCUCCAAUAGCGUAUAUUAAAGUUGUUGCAGUUAAAAAGCUCGUAGUUGGAUUUCUGGCAGGAGCGACCGGUCACACACUCUGUGUGUGAACUUGCGUUGUCUCUGGCCAUCCUCGGGGAGAUCCUGUUUGGCAUUAAGUUGUCGGGCAGGGGAUACCCGUCGUUUACUGUGAAAAAAUUAGAGUGUUUAAAGCAGGCUUAUGCCGUUGAAUAUAUUAGCAUGGAAUAAUAAGAUAGGACUUCGGAACUAUUUUGUUGGUUUGCGUUACGAAGUAAUGAUUAAUAGGGACAGUUGGGGGUGUUCGUAUUUCGUUGUCAGAGGUGAAAUUCUUGGAUUUCCGAAAGACGAACUACUGCGAAAGCAUUUACCAAGGAUGUUUUCAUCA
This 392-nucleotide ribosomal RNA is filed under the name Thalassiosira sp. RNAcentral's name for it is "partial small subunit ribosomal RNA". It matches the Rfam family "Eukaryotic small subunit ribosomal RNA", at positions 582 to 975 of the family's 1831-position model. The record is from RNAcentral. Lineage: Eukaryota; Bacillariophyta; Thalassiosirophyceae; Thalassiosirales; Thalassiosiraceae.